AAGCUGUAGAUGACCCAAAGUC
This 22-nucleotide non-coding RNA is filed under the name Arabidopsis thaliana (thale cress). The record is from RNAcentral. Lineage: Eukaryota; Viridiplantae; Streptophyta; Magnoliopsida; Brassicales; Brassicaceae.